GACGAACGCUGGCGGCGUGCUUAACACAUGCAAGUCGAACGGAAAGGCCCUGCUUUUGUGGGGUGCUCGAGUGGCGAACGGGUGAGUAACACGUGAGUAACCUGCCCUUGACUUUGGGAUAACUUCAGGAAACUGGGGCUAAUACCGGAUAGGAGCUCCUGCUGCAUGGUGGGGGUUGGAAAGUUUCGGCGGUUGGGGAUGGACUCGCGGCUUAUCAGCUUGUUGGUGGGGUAGUGGCUUACCAAGGCUUUGACGGGUAGCCGGCUUGAGAGGGUGACCGGCCCCAUUGGGACUGAGAUACGGCCAAGACUCAUACGGGAGGCAGCAGUGGGGAAUAUUGCACACUGGGCCGAGGCCGGAUGCAGCAACGCCGCGUGCGGGAUGACGGCCUUCGGGUUGUAAACCGCUUUAGCCUGUGACGAAGCGUGAGUGACGGUAAUGGGUAAAGAAGCACCGGCUAACUACGUG
This 468-nucleotide ribosomal RNA is filed under the name uncultured bacterium. Its description in RNAcentral is "partial 16S ribosomal RNA". It matches the Rfam family "Bacterial small subunit ribosomal RNA", at positions 28 to 507 of the family's 1533-position model. The record is from RNAcentral.